RNAcentral lists this long non-coding RNA (277 nucleotides) under Pan troglodytes (chimpanzee). RNAcentral describes it as "long non-coding RNA NONPTRT012849". The record is from RNAcentral. Lineage: Eukaryota; Metazoa; Chordata; Mammalia; Primates; Hominidae.
AGACUGGAAAACUGGAGAAAAAAUAGGAAGUGCACAACAGAGAUAAUCUAGGAAGUGUCAUCACUCCAGGCCACGGUGGCAUUCGUGAAUGGGAAACAAUGUUUGGAAAGUGUGCCGUUUUGACAUCAGUGUGGCUCUGGCAACGUUGGAUGGAUGAGAUGAGUAGGAAUCAGUGUGAAGUCCGCAUUACAACAUGCUUGGAUUCAGUUAUGCCAAUGGUAAUGGAAAGAAAGAGGAAAGAUUUCAGAGAAGUAUGCAAAGAAAAAAAAGAAACAAA